CACGCCGCGUGAGGGAUGAAGGCCUCUGGGCUGUAAACCUCUUUUAUCAAGGAAGAAGAUCUGACGGUACUUGAUGAAUAAGCCACGGCUAAUUCCGUGCCAGCAGCCGCGGUAAUACGGGAGUGGCAAGCGUUAUCCGGAAUUAUUGGGCGUAAAGCGUCCGCAGGCGGUUUUACAAGUCUGUCGUUAAAACGUGGAGCUCAACUCCAUUUCGGCGAUGGAAACUGUAAGACUAGAGUGUGGUAGGGGCAGAGGGAAUUCCCGGUGUAGCGGUGAAAUGCGUAGAUAUCGGGAAGAACACCAGUGGCGAAGGCGCUCUGCUGGGCCAUAACUGACGCUCAUGGACGAAAGCUAGGGGAGCGAAAGGGAUUAGAUACCCCUGUAGUCCUAGCCGUAAACGAUGAACACUAGGUGUCGGGGGAAUCGACCCCCUCGGUGUCGUAGCCAACGCGUUAAGUGUUCCGCCUGGGGAGUACGCACGCAAGUGUG
This 489-nucleotide ribosomal RNA is filed under the name uncultured cyanobacterium. RNAcentral's name for it is "bacterial SSU rRNA". It matches the Rfam family "Bacterial small subunit ribosomal RNA", at positions 393 to 896 of the family's 1533-position model. The record is from RNAcentral. Lineage: Bacteria; Bacillati; Cyanobacteriota.